Molecule: ribosomal RNA, 434 nt
Filed under: uncultured bacterium
Lineage: Bacteria
Description: partial 16S ribosomal RNA
Rfam family: Bacterial small subunit ribosomal RNA
Source: RNAcentral
AGCGAACGCUGGCGGCAGGCCUAACACAUGCAAGUCGAACGAACCUUUCGGGGUUAGUGGCGGCCGGGUGAGCAACCCGUGGGAACGUACCUUUAUGUUCGGCAUAACUCAGGGAAACUUGUGCAAAUACCGAAUGUGCCCUUCGGGGGAAAGAUGGAUCGGCUUUAGAGCGGCCCGCGUCUGUUUAGCUAGUUGGUUGAGGUAAUGGCUUACCAAGGCGACGAUCAGUAGCUGGUCUGAGAGGAGGAUCAGCCACAUUGGGACUGAGACACGGCCCAAACGCCUACGGGAGGCAGCAGUGGGGAAUCUUGCGCAAUGGGCGAGAGCCUGACGCAGCCAUGCCGCGUGAAUGAUGAAGGUGUUAGGAUUGUAAAAUUCUUUCGCCGGGGACGAUAAUGACGGUACCCGGUGAAGAAGCCCCGGCUAACUUCGUG